Molecule: long non-coding RNA, 1667 nt
Organism: Nicotiana tabacum (common tobacco)
Lineage: Eukaryota; Viridiplantae; Streptophyta; Magnoliopsida; Solanales; Solanaceae
Source: RefSeq, a predicted model, not a curated record
CUAAACAGAGCAUAUUUUGGGAGUUACCUUAUUAGAAGCAUAAUCUUCUUCGACAUAACUUGGAUGUCAUGCAUAUUGAAAAGAACUUCUUUGAUAACCUGUUUCAUACUGUAAUGGAUGACAAGAAUAGGACAAAAGAUAACUUGAAGGCCAGGAUGGACUUACAGGAAUACAGGUGAAGAGAAUUAGAACUACGACAAGAAAAUAAUAGGAUGGUGAAGCCUAAGGCCAGUUAUUCAUUCAAAAUGGAUGACAAAUGAAAGAUCUAUGAUUGGGUUCGAAAUUUGAGAAUGCCUGAUGGGUAUGCUUCAAACUUAUCCAAUUGUGUUGACAUGAAAGAAGCAAAGCUGAUGUAUAUGAAAAGCCAUGAUUGUCACAUUUUCAUGGAAUCAUUACUUCCUAUUGCAUUUAGAUCAUUUCCAGAGAGAAUAUGGAAACUCAUCACAGAGAUAAGCUUAUUUUUCAAAGACCUAUGUUCUAAUACAUUGAGGGAGGAAAAUCUAGUUUUCAUGGAAAGUAACAUCCAUUUAAUUAUAAAUAAACUGGCAAAAAUUUUUCCAUGUGAUUUUUUCAAUACAAUGGAACAUCUUCCAAUUCAUCUUGUAAGAGAGGGACGACUUGGAGGGCCUGUUCAAUGUGGAUUGAUGUAUCCAUUUGAGAGGUAAUAACCAUUAAUUAUUUUUCCUUUAUGUGUUUUGAUUACACUUCUUCCCAUCUAAAAUUAUGCUAUGUUGGAUUGUUGGCAAAUGUAAACGGAUGAUGAAACAAAAAUCCAAGAUUGAGGGAUCAAUAUGUGAAGCAUAUCUAGUUAAAGAAACUUCUCAUUUCUGUUCAUAUUAUUUUGAGCAUCACGUGCCAUGUUUGAGAAAUAGGCCAAAUCGGCAUGACGAUGAAGGUGACAAUGAUCUUUUGGCACCGCCUAUAUCCAUAUUCAAUCAACCCGGUAGAAGUUCUAAGAAAUAUCAAAAAAGAAAUUGGACUGGGAUGGAGAAAAAGUCAGCUACAACACAUGUAUUGCUCAAUUGCCCCGAAGUUCAACAAUUUUACAAGAUAAUUUCAAACAAAUCUUGGAGGAGUUCAUUCAAGCCAGCCGAUUGAUGAUCAAGGUAGGCCAAUCCAACCAACCCAAGAGGAGAUCAUGGACAUGUGGAUUAGGGCAGCUAGUGGCAUGCAUAAGGGGAGAGUUUACGGCCUUGGAUCAGAGUUUAGUCUCGGUCGUCGCACUUCUGGAUUGGUUGGUUCUUAUUUUUUGUCAUAUUGCUCGGUUGAUCUGGAUGAGUUUGAGCAAUUGAAUAGGAAGGUAGCGAAGAUUACAAAAUUGUAUCUUCAAGAAAGGGCUGCAAAGGAAGACGAGGCAACGCGAAGGGAUGAAGAAGAUAGGCUAAGAGAGGAAGAAAUGAGGCGAAAGGACGAUGCAUUAAGACUUGUCACUAGUGAUGUUAAAAGUCUCAAGUCUCAGAUAAACUCCCUCUUAGAAUCUGGUGCAUUUCAUGUGCCCCGUUCUCCAGCAUCUGAUGAUAACUAAGGAGUAGUUUCUUUUAUUAGCUUGUCUUGGAUGGUAUUUGGAUGUUGAAUAUUGAAUGUUGGAUUUUUGAGUUUUUGUUCUACUUUUGGAUUAGUUGGAUUAAUUAUGAAAUGAAUUGAUUAGUUGUUGUUUAUGAAAUGAA